This 253-nucleotide ribosomal RNA is filed under the name uncultured bacterium. RNAcentral's name for it is "partial 16S ribosomal RNA". It matches the Rfam family "Bacterial small subunit ribosomal RNA", at positions 524 to 776 of the family's 1533-position model. The record is from RNAcentral.
UACAGAGGUCUCAAGCGUUGUUCGGAUUCAUUGGGCGUAAAGGGUGUGUAGGUGGCGCCGUAAGUCGGGUGUGAAAUCUCGGAGCUUAACUCCGAAACUGCAUUCGAUACUGCCGUGCUUGAGGACUGGAGAGGAGACUGGAAUUUACGGUGUAGCGGUGAAAUGCGUAGAUAUCGUAAGGAAGACCAGUGGCGAAGGCGGGUCUCUGGACAGUUCCUGACGCUGAGGUGCGAAAGCGUGGGGAGCAAACAGG